AAAACAUUCGGACCGUCGUUCUACCGAUCAAUAUCAACCGCUCCGUGGAAGAUCUUUCCUCCGUCGU
This 67-nucleotide microRNA precursor is filed under the name Bombyx mori (domestic silkworm). Its description in RNAcentral is "mir-2774 microRNA precursor family". It matches the Rfam family "mir-2774 microRNA precursor family". Lineage: Eukaryota; Metazoa; Arthropoda; Insecta; Lepidoptera; Bombycidae. The record is from Rfam by way of RNAcentral.